This 3689-nucleotide long non-coding RNA is filed under the name Fukomys damarensis (Damara mole-rat). Its description in RNAcentral is "lncRNA (ENSFDAG00000026961.1)". Lineage: Eukaryota; Metazoa; Chordata; Mammalia; Rodentia; Bathyergidae. The record is from RNAcentral.
GGCCGGCCCCGCCCCCCACCUCUUGUAGCUUGUCUGCCAGGUGCGCUGAGGACUCGGGCGGCGCACGAGGCGGCGCGUUCGGGUUUCCACGGUGAAGGGGGCGGAGCCUCUGAGAGAAAGUUUCCACCGAAACUUGGACUGGCGCGCGACCACGGACGCCUAGCCCUUGAGGGUUCGCCUUUCGCCAGAACUUCACCUCUUCACACCCAGCGCCAAAAUGAAUAACGCAACCUCUGAGUCUCCCGGCUGGUCUGAGAGACUGAGGAACUCGCGGCCCAAGUCUGAGCAGCGCGCAGAGCUGGAGUGCAGGCUUAAUCAGCUGCCUCAGGAGAAGAGACAACUAGAAGCACACAGGACUCUAUUGAGACCCCAGCACACCCACCUCCGGCCAGCGCCCGCACUGCCUGAUCUUUGUUUAUGUGGUAUUUCUGUCUCUUACUUUUCUGAUGAAGAAAAAAAAAAUGCUCCAAAGAAGAAAUCAAAGAAUGAGGAAAUGAACCUGAAUUUGCCCAAAGCCCGUCUACUCCAUUCAGUCCUUCUGUCUCAGUGAUCCCAGAAGGAAUGACACCCUGUUAAAGGCAGAGACUUUAAUGAGAAGCGUGUGUUGGGACAAGAGCACCGAGGGCAAGAAAGGAAGCACUGACAGCAGCAGCCAGAGUACACAAGGCCCCCAGUGACGUUCGUGAAAUGUGUCAGUCUCACGCUUUGCUCAUGAUAUUUAGUGCCAAGAACUGCUGAAGCUGAACAUUCCCCUUGGAGUGCAAGGAAUAAGACAAGCUCUGUGUGAGACAUUUUUGGUCUUGCUAAGGUCAGUGUGGUGGGUUGGUUGCUGAGGAAGAGUUCUGACAAUUGCUAUGGAGAAGCUACAGAAGCACAGGCAAGCAAAACUGUUUGUUUUCCAAAUGCAAAAUUAGAGGGAAGCACAGUAAGCCAAGAUUCCAUGCGUAAUAAGUUUUGCAAAUAAACAUCAAUUAGAAGAGAAACUUUAGGAAAGGAAAUUGACAUAGUCAGAGUCCUUGGAGAAAACCUGUCUCUGAGUGGUUAGACUACUCACAAGCAGGGACAUUGCCUUUCAUCAUCCUAUGACUUCUUUAUCUUUACUACUUAUUUGUUUAUUUUAAAGAAAAAAUUUUGAGACAGGGUUUUAUUACAUAGUUCAUGCUGGCCUCGAACUCAGGUUGAUCCUUUUGUCUCUCCCUCCCAAGUGCUGGAAUCACGGGGCGUGCGCCACCCUGCUUGACAACUUUUUUAUUUUGAGAACUAGGAAUAAGAAAGUUCACCUGUAGUCUCUGCUGCACCCUUCACCACACUGUGUGUUUUAAGCUGAAAGAGGUGGGCUCGGUUUGUUCCAGAAGGAAGUGAGGGGCAUCUAUUUCUGUUUAGUUGUUUUUAGGAAUUCUUUUGGCCAGCCUAAAAAAAAAGGAGAAUGUGGCAUUGAAUGCUACAACAGCACGAAUCUUGAGGACGUUUGCUAAGCAAAACAAGCCAGUCAGGAAAACACUGUGAUUCCACUUAGAUGAGGCAUCUGGAGUGGCCAAAUUCAGAGCUGUGGCUUUCGAGGUGGUGCAGAGGGAGAAGGAGGGGUUAUUGACCAGUGGGUGUGCAGUUCCAGUUUUGCAAGAUGAAAAAAUUCUCAGACUUUCGUGCAAUGACAUGAACAUUCUUAACACUACUGAACUGUACACUUAAAAUUGGUGAGCAUGGUACAUUUUAUGCUGAAAAUUAUAGGCUAAAAUGUUUUUUUUUUAACCACAGUUAAAAAUAAACAGGAAAAGAAAAUGUGAAAAUAAAAAAAAAAUACACUUGGCAUUGAUUUUAAUACAACAGGACAAAGAGCAUUAGCACUUUUUCAAUUAAGUGCAAUUUAAGAGCAUUACCCAUACCUAAUAUCUAUUUAAGCUGCUAUAUUUAAAAGUAUAAUUUAACUGAAAGUAACCCCAACAUGGUUAUUUCAAUAGCGUGUUUUCUUGUUCCCAUCAUGAAAACCUGUUUUCUGCCAGUAUUUAUUUGCGUACGUCACUAGAUGUUUAUUCGUGAUCUACUAUGUGCCCAACUUGGUUUCAGGCACUAAAAAUAUAGUCACAAUGAUGGCAGAAGUCUAAUACAGUAAUAGUGAAAGCGACCAACAAAUAUAGCAAAGGGUGUUUACUACUAGAGGUUUGGACCAGUGAGCACACAGACAGUGCCUGUCAAACUUUGGGACUGGUGUGAGUCACAAGGGGAUCUUAUUAAAAUGCAGACCUGAGUCCACAGCCUAGGCUGGAACUGAUAUUCUGGACUUAAAUAAGUUGUCAAGUGAAGCCAGUGCCCCUUGCCCCUUGCCAUGUUUUGCAGCUGGGCAUAUGGGACAAUAUUAUGAUGCAAGAUUUUUAAGGUAUAAUAUUAAUAUGUAAAGCAUCCUGCAAGGUUGAAAGUUUCCCUUUUCUUGGGGUAGAGAGCACAUGCUGGUACUAAAAUAAUACAUAGGUGAAUGAGAUGCAUCUACAGACAAUUAUGAUACCAGGAAAAUGUGAAAUGCACACCCAGGAAAGUAGAAAGUGGCAUAGAGCAGAGCUGGAGAGGAGAAACAGCAUCCAGACUGGGGAGGGGAGGGGUUCGGGAACCCACCUAAGGCAGGAGGCCUCAAGAACUGAGCCAGGAAGAUGCUCAAGAUGUCUGCUUGUGGGGGGAGCAGGACGGUGCUCAGGCCGGUGUCGGGUAGGCAUUUUUGUGCUUUCAGCUCUGAGUUUGUUCAGGGACUGGCUAGUGGCUCUGUUGGGCAGCUAUUCCAUGUAGAAAAAAGACAAGGCUGGAAAGGAGGUCCACAGAAAGUUGUUAUGUGAUGAAAAACUAAUCCCAACAAGACCGACCCUAGAAUUCCCAAAACGGGACCUAAACUUUCCUGACCUUUCAAGCCAUGCGCAGUGCCAUAUACCUGUAAACCCAACACCCUCAACAAACUCAAGGAAGACGCGGCCCAGUGCAAAGGCCUUGGGUUCAGUCCCCAGUACGGGGGAGUAGGGGCAGGGCAGGUGGGGGGUGGCGAGGACCCCUGACCUCCCUCCUGCUCCUUUUCUCUGAACACUAAGCACACAGUACUGUGGUUUGUUGUGCAGUCUGUCUGUUCCAUUCAGGAGCCCCCAUGUUUCAGCUCCUCUGGCUGCUCAUGGAUAUUUUCCCUGACUGUAUCAUUUCCCAGCUUGGUGAUUUUUCUCUCUUUCUCUAGCACGGAAUCUUUUCAGACAGGGUAUUUGUCAGUAGAUUUCUUUGCCUUGGUCCCAAGUACCCUUUGGCGAGAAGUAGCUUUGGGUUUUCUGUGGGGUUCUGCUCCCAUCCUGGGAAUACUUGUCAAGACCGGCCCUCAUUCCUGCCGCGGCGAUUCGGGAUGGGUGUCGGCCCCCCAUUCCCUCAGUCUUCCCAGCUCCUUGCUGUCCUCCUCAGUUACAUUACCUCCUUGGUGCUUGGAAGUCCUGGAGGUUGAAGUCUGAUUAAAACGGGGGAAGGACUCAAAAACAAAAGCAAAGUAAUACCAGUUAAGCCUCUCUUGUUUACGUAGGCUGGAUGUACUGGGGAUUGAACCCAGGGACUCCUGCAUGCCAGGUAAGGGGUCUGCCACUGAGCUACAUCCCCAGUCUGUUUUACUUUUAGACUAGGUUUCACUAAAUUGCCCUAUUUGGCCUUGAACUUGUGACCCUUCUUCCCCAGCCCCC